Molecule: ribosomal RNA, 853 nt
Filed under: uncultured Lactobacillus sp.
Lineage: Bacteria; Bacillati; Bacillota; Bacilli; Lactobacillales; Lactobacillaceae
Description: bacterial SSU rRNA
Rfam family: Bacterial small subunit ribosomal RNA
Source: RNAcentral
GGACAGUGGAACUCCAUGUGUAGCGGUGAAAUGCGUAGAUAUAUGGAAGAACACCAGUGGCGAAGGCGGCUGUCUGGUCUGUAACUGACGCUGAGGCUCGAAAGUAUGGGUAGCAAACAGGAUUAGAUACCCUGGUAGUCCAUACCGUAAACGAUGAAUGCUAAGUGUUGGAGGGUUUCCCCCUUCAGUGCUGCAGCUAACGCAUUAAGCAUUCCGCCUGGGGAGUACGACCGCAAGGCUGAAACUCAAAGGAAUUGACGGGGGCCCGCACAAGCGGUGGAGCAUGUGGUUUAAUUCGAAGCUACGCGAAGAACCUUACCAGGUCUUGACAUACUAUGCAAAUCUAAGAGAUUAGACGUUCCCUUCGGGGACAUGGAUACAGGUGGUGCAUGGUUGUCGUCAGCUCGUGUCGUGAGAUGUUGGGUUAAGUCCCGCAACGAGCGCAACCCUUAUUAUCAGUUGCCAGCAUUAAGUUGGGCACUCUGGUGAGACUGCCGGUGACAAACCGGAGGAAGGUGGGGAUGACGUCAAAUCAUCAUGCCCCUUAUGACCUGGGCUACACACGUGCUACAAUGGAUGGUACAACGAGUUGCGAACUCGCGAGAGUAAGCUAAUCUCUUAAAGCCAUUCUCAGUUCGGAUUGUAGGCUGCAACUCGCCUACAUGAAGUCGGAAUCGCUAGUAAUCGCGGAUCAGCAUGCCGCGGUGAAUACGUUCCCGGGCCUUGUACACACCGCCCGUCACACCAUGAGAGUUUGUAACACCCAAAGUCGGUGGGGUAACCUUUAGGAACCAGCCGCCUAAGGUGGGACAGAUGAUUAGGGUGAAGUCGUAACAAGGUAACCAAGGGCGAA